AACGAACGCUGGCGGCAUGCCUAACACAUGCAAGUCGAACGAGACCUUCGGGUCUUGUGGCGCACGGGUGCGUAACGCGUGGGAACCUGCCCUUAGGUUCGGAAUAACUCCCCGAAAGGGGUGCUAAUACCGGAUAAUGUCUUCGGACCAAAGAUUUAUCGCCCUUGGAUGGGCCCGCGUUGGAUAAGCUAGUUGGUAGGGUAAAAGCCUACCAAGGCGACGAUCCAUAGCUGGUCUGAGAGGAUGAUCAGCCACACUGGGACUGAGACACGGCCCAGACUCCUACGGGAGGCAGCAGUGGGGAAUAUUGGACAAUGGGCGAAAGCCUGAUCCAGCAAUGCCGCGUGAGUGAUGAAGGCCUUAGGGUUGUAAAGCUCUUUUACCCGGGAUGAUAAUGACAGUACCGGGAGAAUAAGCUCCGGCUAACUCCGUG
Molecule: ribosomal RNA, 433 nt
Filed under: uncultured bacterium
Lineage: Bacteria
Description: partial 16S ribosomal RNA
Rfam family: Bacterial small subunit ribosomal RNA
Source: RNAcentral